Molecule: ribosomal RNA, 168 nt
Filed under: uncultured bacterium
Lineage: Bacteria
Description: partial 16S ribosomal RNA
Rfam family: Bacterial small subunit ribosomal RNA
Source: RNAcentral
UAGGACAGAAAGUCUGAUAGUGCGACGCCGCGUGAACGAUGAAUCCCUUCGGGGUGUAAAGUUCUUUUAUAUGUGAGCAAUGCCUUAUAUGUGAAUAGCAUGUAGGGAGAGAUAUUAGCAUAUGAAUAAGCAACGGCUAACUCCGUGCCAGCAGCCGCGGUAAUUAAU